This 254-nucleotide ribosomal RNA is filed under the name uncultured bacterium. RNAcentral describes it as "partial 16S ribosomal RNA". It matches the Rfam family "Bacterial small subunit ribosomal RNA", at positions 524 to 776 of the family's 1533-position model. The record is from RNAcentral.
UACGUAGGCAGCGAGCGUUGUUCGGAGUUACUGGGCGUAAAGGGUGUGUAGGCGGUUGUUUAAGUUUGGUGUGAAAUCUCCCGGCUCAACUGGGAGGGUGCGCCGAAUACUGAAUGACUUGGAGUGCGGAAGAGGAAAGUGGAAUUCCUGGUGUAGCGGUGGAAUGCGUAGAUAUCAGGAGGAACACCGGUGGUGUAGACGGCUUUCUGGACCGUAACUGACGCUGAGACACGAAAGCGUGGGUAGCAAACAGG